AUGGUGGAGUCGUGGGCCGUCAUUGGGCUGAAUAUACUGGGCCAAGCAGCACCGCGCGGCAGCAACCCAGCAGGCCCAGGCCAGCAAGACCGAGCCCGUCCCCAAGCGCCCCUAUUAACCCCUCGAAUCCGAGCUCCAAUUCCUUGCGGUGCCGCUGCCGCCACCGCCACAGCUCCGACCGAGCCCAGCCGACGCCAGAGACCACCACAGCCUUCUCCGAGGAGAGCAACGGAACCGCCUAGUCAAGCCGAGCCUCUCGAAUUCGAGCUCGAGCACUCGCCGGCACCGCUACAGCUCCGACAGAGCCCAGCCGACGCCAGAGAACACCACCGACGUCUCCCAGGAGAGAAACGGAACGGCCGACUCAAGGCAAAUCUCUUAGACGCCUUCCCGAGCAGCAAGUAUCACCGGAGCCAGCUCAGCGACAAGCCCCAAAGCCGCCGGCGCCGCCUGAACGCCUCUGAUCCAAUAGGUGGGGCAAGGAAGUUGUAUGCUGGAAAUCCAGCUCAAAUUGAGACUGACAUGCUCCCCACAUUGCAAAACAGACGGUGCUUUUCUGUCAGGAUCAAAACGUUCUACAUAUAUGUUGUUGAGAAACUUGCACAGCAUCUUGAACUGCAAGGUCUGAUAACAUUGAGAGUUGGGCCCCGUUCGGGAAUACUCCGCUCCAGGCUCCGCUCCGGGAGCGGACGGAGCUCUAGUACAAAAUCUGGGAGCCAGCAAACCGCCGCUCCGCAGAUUCUAGGAGCUGGUGAAUUCCUGAACGCGGCCUUGCUUUUCACCAAGCUACACACAAUGAGGUGCUGUUUCACGUUAUAUGAUUGCCAAAAGGCAGUCAACAAUAACAAGAUAUGGAAGGUGUACCAGCCAACUGAGAAAAUAGAUGCAGUUCAUGAUCCAAACCUCUUCAUGUUGAGGAGGUUCUCCUACCGUGCGCCCUUGGCCCCGGCUUUAGGUAGCGCCGUGUCCUCGGCUCGUCCCGUGCAUAAUCCCGGUAUGCGUCGACUGUCUGAGCUCCUGCUCACCAUUGGUGGUGCUUGA
This 1041-nucleotide ribosomal RNA is filed under the name Triticum aestivum (bread wheat). RNAcentral's name for it is "partial small subunit ribosomal RNA". The record is from RNAcentral. Lineage: Eukaryota; Viridiplantae; Streptophyta; Magnoliopsida; Poales; Poaceae.